This 420-nucleotide ribosomal RNA is filed under the name Pseudomonas sp. 16B(2010). RNAcentral's name for it is "bacterial SSU rRNA". It matches the Rfam family "Bacterial small subunit ribosomal RNA", at positions 272 to 684 of the family's 1533-position model. Lineage: Bacteria; Pseudomonadati; Pseudomonadota; Gammaproteobacteria; Pseudomonadales; Pseudomonadaceae. The record is from RNAcentral.
GGCGACGAUCCGUAACUGGUCUGAGAGGAUGAUCAGUCACACUGGAACUGAGACACGGUCCAGACUCCUACGGGAGGCAGCAGUGGGGAAUAUUGGACAAUGGGCGAAAGCCUGAUCCAGCCAUGCCGCGUGUGUGAAGAAGGUCUUCGGAUUGUAAAGCACUUUAAGUUGGGAGGAAGGGCAGUAAGUUAAUACCUUGCUGUUUUGACGUUACCAACAGAAUAAGCACCGGCUAACUUCGUGCCAGCAGCCGCGGUAAUACGAAGGGUGCAAGCGUUAAUCGGAAUUACUGGGCGUAAAGCGCGCGUAGGUGGUUCGUUAAGUUGGAUGUGAAAGCCCCGGGCUCAACCUGGGAACUGCAUCCAAAACUGGCGAGCUAGAGUAUGGCAGAGGGUGGUGGAAUUUCCUGUGUAGCGGUGA